CAGCAUUUUGUGUGGACUAGCAGUCUAGCAACUCAUAAUAGCCAAAUUCAGAUCUCUUUAUUCAUACCGGUGAAAUUUAUAUUCAAUACAAGUAAGAGCAUUGCACUCUACCACUAAAUACAGGGUGUUAAGGACAGGGAAGCAAAAGGUUUUGAAGCAAUUGAGUCCCUAGAACAAGGCACACCUACUUCCUCUGAAUCUAAUCACUGAUGGCAAAGAAGGAUUGGCUGUCAGGUGGUAAAGACGUGCAGACUGAGGGUUUUACAGUGUGCCCAGCCCUGCCUUAUACACCAUCUGUCACUUAUGGAAACUUAAGAAUUGCCAAAGACAGGUGGAAAAGGUAGACUUUGCAUAGGUGGCUUACUAUUGUUGCUGAGAGAGCUAGUUAGCCAUGUUAGGCUGAAGUUGGACAGAAGCCUGUGCACAGCAUCUGAUGAAGAAAGUGCUCUCCUUAUGAAAGUUCAUACUGAUUGAGUCUAUCUGGUGCAAAUCUACUCUUUCUGCCUUACUCCUGCUGGACAGAGGGCUCUCUCUGAACCUGUGGACAUGUUAAGCAGAAGGACAUACAGAUUUUACAUUCUUAAAAGGAAGAAAAACGUUUAAAAAUUGCAGAUCAUAUGUGCUAUUUAAUGAAAAUAUCUAUUGAGGCAAAAUAGUAAUACUGAUAAGUCUGAGUGAGAGGCAUUUCAUCAAAAUAACUACAGUAAAGUCCUUUUUCCAGGCUUACCAGCACUUCUGCACCCUCAUCCACAUUCAGAAGCAGUCUCAGUAUUUCUUGGUUUAAUCUACAUGGGGACAUAAUCAACACUGCUGCCCCUGUACAAUUAAACCACUGAAUUAUACCAAGAUAACUCCUUUUGUGCAUACUCAGACUUGGAACAAAUGGCCUUUAAUUUAUAAGAUGAAUCUUAUUAAGUGUGUCAUGGGCAAAAGGAGGAGUUUUUCAAUUAUGUUAACACAAUUGAAAAGCCCCGCAAAAUGCAGCUCUGAAACCAUGAUAGAUUAGCAGAUUAUGCUGUAGCCUAAUUCUGGUAAACUAGUGUGUUAAAAACAGUUCUUUUUAGACUACUGGGACAGAUCAAUGAGUGCUAGGAACACAGUAUCCUCAGUGAAGGGCUUUCCCCUAUGAGACCUGCUACCAUGGGUAUUCCAGAAGGGUAAGGCCCCAGAAGAGAGUUCUUGUGAGAAGGUGGGUGGAGAGUAUGUGGUAAUGUAUCAAAGUGAAGUCUGCUUUGAAAUCCAGCAAGAGCUUGGUUUCUGUAUACGCAUAUUUUUGAUCCUAUUUCAAUUUUGUUAUUAAACCAACUAUAAACUCAGUAAAAAAAACAAACAAACCCUGACCUGCUUCGUACACCUCUACACAACAUACUCCUACUGGACAUUGAGAAACUGCAACAGUAUGAUGUGCACAGGGUUUUAUUUUCAAAGCACUCUCUUAUUUUGUGUAGGAUUUGUAACAACGCAAUUAAUACUUUGUUAUAAAAAGCAGAAAUGUAAAAAAUAAAAAUUUGCCACCUAAUGCA
This 1523-nucleotide long non-coding RNA is filed under the name Crocodylus porosus (Australian saltwater crocodile). RNAcentral describes it as "lncRNA (ENSCPRG00005016558.1)". Lineage: Eukaryota; Metazoa; Chordata; Crocodylia; Crocodylidae. The record is from RNAcentral.